ACUUGUACUCUUUCUUGUUUACCCGCUUCUCUUCUUCGUCCUUACUCUCAACCAACUUAGCAUACGCCCCUUUCUUGGUCUCCACUUUCUUCUUAACCUCUUCAUUCCACCACCAAUCCCCCCGAUGAUGACCGGCCCGCCCCCCACACAGACCCAACACCUCACUAGUAUUCUCCCUGAUGCACCUAGCCACCCUAUCCCACAUACUAUCCACGUCCCCCUACACUCCCACACCCCCAUUCCCGCCAAAUUCUCCCUUAUUUCCCACGCAUUCACUGUCGUCAAGCCGCCCCACUUAAUUCUAGGUCUACACUCCUCACCCCUUCUCUUCCUAUCCUUCCUUAUACCCAAAUCCAUAACCAAGAGCCUAUGCUGGGUCGAAAGAUUCUCACUCGGGAUGACCUUACAGUCCUUACACAACACCCCAUCCCCUUUCCUAAGCAACAAAAAGUCAAUCU
RNAcentral lists this long non-coding RNA (458 nucleotides) under Capsicum annuum. Its description in RNAcentral is "long non-coding RNA (CANN_LNC011672)". Lineage: Eukaryota; Viridiplantae; Streptophyta; Magnoliopsida; Solanales; Solanaceae. The record is from RNAcentral.